ACAAUAAGAGGCUAAAAACCAGCAUACAGAACGACUCCACCUGUAACUUUUCUGUAGCGAACACUGCAGUCGAUGUGCUCAAACUCUCGAGCGAUGAAGGCAUGCCGAGUGCGUGCAUGAAGCUCCCUUCAUCCCUGCUGCAUGCACCUGUGCACGCUCUUUACUGGUGAAGGCAUGAACUGCUGCCACCUACCAUGCAUCUCACCUACUACAUACCCAGCCCAGCCAUUCCUCCUCGUAUAUAGAAACCUCCUCCCUCGUUCUUACAGCACCAUCGCAAACUUCUUUCAGCUUUCGUUUUACCUAGUGGAUCCAAACCUCUGCUGCGUUGUCGUUUUCCAUCUCCUGCUGCUGCACUCAUGCGCUCGACGGCUUCAAGAUGUCGAUUUCGUGGAGGCGGCGGACGCUGUUCCGGCCCUGGAACCGGUGCCACCACCGGGAGACUCGCCGAACUGGAGCUCCGGAGCACUAAACGCUGCAGAGGAGUAGGAAGCUUUGCUGCACCUCAAUGACUGAUAUCACAGCAAGCAAUGAUGCGCUAAAUCCACCAUGUCGCUGAACAGUGAGCGAAGUCAUAAACUUUUGUGACGAUAAUAUGUGGUAUAUUUAUAUAGGUAUAUCCAUGAGAUUAGGUUUUGGGGUUACUUUUAGUUGGAUCUUACUAGAUUAAAUCACAGCAGGAAUAACUCAUGCCAAUUCUUAACCUUAUCCGUUUACUAAAUAGAAUCUUUGCAAGGAUGGAAAUCAAAACUAAUUUAGUUAUUAUUUGAAGCUCUAAGAAACAUUGAAUACUUUAUGAUGACUCAUUAUGUGAUUAUAAUCUGAAGAAUUAUAGUCAUAUUUCGGGUGAUAUAUAUGAAUGAUAUCAUUUAAAAGAAUAUAUACCGUACACCAAAUUAUACAAUUUCUUCAUCAUCGCGAAUCUUGAUGUCGGCAGACGGAUGUGAUGGUGUUGGAGCUCACCGGGCCACCAUACAAAUGCCCACUAAAGAUGGGACCUACGAAAGCUUGACUUUUCUUUGACCCGAGUCCUGCACGUAACUAGCGGACGCCGGGAACGUGCACUGUCUCUGCUCCCACGUGGAGGCCGCGCGCCGCAGCGAUCCUCCAUGUGCCAGCCUCGAACUUCCGGGUCCCACGGCCACGUAGGACGAACGUGCGAAGGAGAACACACCACCGCGGCGACGUACCCUCCCCCUUACCCUUCUCCUCGAUAGCAAUUGGGGCGGUCGAGCACAGGAAGUGAAACGCCGCUUAUAAAUACCAGCCUCAGUGCUUCUCCUCUUCUCACUCCGAAACCUCCACCACACGCUUCCAUUGUUCUCGUUGAUUUCUUGGCUGCAAUGGCUGUCGUCACCACCGAGAGGACCCUGGUCCCAGCUGGCCGGCUCGUCGCCAUGGUGAAGGACGCAGCCUUACGCAGUAUGGAGCAACGAGAGGAUGGUGGCGACAAUGAUGACGACGACGACGACGACAACGAUGUGGCACCAGCUGCCUGAUGACAUCGAGUAAAGAAAGAGUCCAUAUUAUGUAUGUCGAGAGCUGGUGUAUUCUCUUUGUGGGCUUCACUGGAGUGUGAGGAUAGUGUGGUACGGUCGUGAGAUCCAAUGAGUAUAUCGAUUUGGUUCUUGUGAUAUGAUUGGGCCUAAAAAGAGCAACCUUUGUUCA
Long non-coding RNA from Musa acuminata AAA Group (dessert banana), 1668 nucleotides. RefSeq lists it as uncharacterized. NCBI's taxonomy places the organism in Eukaryota, Viridiplantae, Streptophyta, Magnoliopsida, Zingiberales, Musaceae. The transcript is spliced from 2 exons. The record is from RefSeq and is a predicted model, not a curated record.